RNAcentral lists this ribosomal RNA (460 nucleotides) under uncultured bacterium. Its description in RNAcentral is "partial 16S ribosomal RNA". It matches the Rfam family "Bacterial small subunit ribosomal RNA", at positions 338 to 795 of the family's 1533-position model. The record is from RNAcentral.
UCUACGGGUGGCAGCAGUGAGGAAUAUUGGUCAAUGGGCGUAAGCCUGAACCAGCCAAGUCGCGUGAGGGAUGAAGGUUCUAUGGAUCGUAAACCUCUUUUAUAAGGGAAUAAAGUGUGGGACGUGUCCUAUUUUGUAUGUACCUUAUGAAUAAGGAUCGGCUAACUCCGUGCCAGCAGCCGCGGUAAUACGGAGGAUCCGAGCGUUAUCCGGAUUUAUUGGGUUUAAAGGGUGCGUAGGCGGCCUUUUAAGUCAUCGGUGAAAGUCUGUGGCUGAACCAUAGAAUUGCGGUUGAACCUGGGGGGAUUGAGUAUGUUUGAGGCAGGCGGAAUGGGUGGUGUAGAGGUGAAAUGCUGAGAUAUCACGCAGAACCCCGAUUGCGAAGGCAGCCUGCCAAGCCAUGACUGACGCUGAUGCACGAAAGCGUGGGGAGCAAACAGGAUUAGAUACCCCAGUAGUC